UCCCUGCAUUGGAAACAUGGAGUCUUAACCACUGGACUGCCAGGGAAGUCCCCAGAUCAUAUUUAUUUAUUUAUUUAAAUUAAUUAAUUAAUUUAUUUUUGGCUGCGUUGGGCCUUCGUUGCUGCACAAGCUUUCUCUAGUUGCGGCGAGUGGGGGCUACUCUUUUUUUUUCUUUUUUGCGGUAUGUGGGCCUCUCAGUGCUGUGGCUUCUCCCGCAGCUAAGCACAGGCUCCGGACGCGCAGGCCCAAUGGCCAUGGCUCACGGGCCCAGCCGUUCCGCGGCAUGUGAGAUCCUCCCGGACCGGGGCACGAACCCGUGUCCCCCGCAUCGGCAGGCGGACUCUCAACCACUGCGCCACCAGGGAAGCCCAGGGGGGGUGCUACUCUUGGUUGAGGUGCGCAGGCUUCUCAUUGCGGUGGCUUCUCUUGUUGCGGAGCAUGGGCUCUAGGUGCGUGGGCUUCAGUAGUUGUGGCACGCAGGCUCAGUAGUUGUGGCUCACGGGCUCUAGAGCACAGGCUCAGUAGUUCUGGCGCACAGGCUUAGUUGCUCCGUGGCAUGUGGGAUCUUCGCGGACCAGGGCUCGUACCCAUCUCCCCUGCAUUGGCAGGUGGAUUCUUAACCACUGUGGCACCGGGGAAGUCCCUUUGUUUGUUUUUUACUGUAGAUUUAUAUCUCAAUUUGUUUCAGAGCAAUUACUUCAAACGUACAUAGUUAAUUUAUUUUUGUCUAUGAUCAUUGCCGUAUGAUUGUUAAAGAUAAUUUCUUGAAUUCCUAAACAUGGCUGAAUUUUUAUAAUUUUGACGCUUGAAUUGCUUAUGAUAAUUUUUAUGAGUUUCCUAUACCCGGAGACACAACUUUUGUGACUCUAUGGAAUGACAGGUUCAUUUAUAUCUGUAGCCUUUAGGGGCGUCUGAAAGAAUUAGUUUAGCCUCUCAGAGCACGCUGAGCUUCCCGGGAGUCCAAACUAAUACGUCUCCAAACACCUGCGCCAUCAGUUGCAGAAAGGGCUCCCCAGAAAUCUGAGUAUGGCCUUUUCAAGAAGGAGCGAAGUCCCUCCUCUGCCCGAGCACCCAGACGCACAAUUUCCCAGCGCCCCUGGCAGCGGAGCUCUGCCUUUUUUUUUUUUUUACUGCCUUCUUUACUAGAGGUCGGCGGGGAGUAUCCUCACACGCGGCCUGUGGUUCUGCGGGAACUACAUUACCCAGAAUGCUCCACGACGGGCGGCAGCGCCACUCAGCCAAUCAAAGUCUCAUAAAAGGGGCGUUUCCGUAUCAGGUGCAAUUCAUAAGGGAGCGACUUCUGGUUUCCUUCUCGUGGCGGCCAUUUUAACUGCUCUGGGUCUGUUCUGGCUCCGGACUGCUGGGUCUGGACCGACGUGACGGCCAACAAGGUCCGAGAAGAGGCCUUUUUCUCCCAGGACAAAAGCGGGUCUGAGGCUCGGCGACCCCGUCCCGAUGCCCCGCGCCAGGCCUGGGAGACGGACUGCCGAUCUGGGUCCCGCUCUGCCCACAGACCCCAAUGGCAGCGGUGGUGCUGAGGGACCCGCCUCAGCAGGGCAAUGUGACCUUUGAGGAUGUGGCCAUGUACUUCUCUUUGGAGGAACGGAAUCUCCUUGACGAGCCUCACAGAUGCCUGUACCAAGAUGUGAUACUGGAGAAUUUUGCACUUGUAACCUCCCUGGUCUGGGAAGUUGAAGAUUAAGGCACUGGCCUUGUGGAAAGAGCCUUCUCUUUUUCUACGAAAAGAAUAGGUUGUUGGUGUAGAGUGGAGAAUAAGGAGGCAUCUUCUGAGCACAGCAUUUCUGCAAAGUAAUGCCACAGGAUAGGACUCUUAAAGCAGGUCUGUCUCCCCAGAAGGCCCACGUCUGUGAGAUGUGUGGACCCAUGUUGAGAGACAGUUUGCACUUUGUU
Orcinus orca (killer whale) is the source of this 1911-nucleotide long non-coding RNA. RefSeq lists it as uncharacterized. The record is from RefSeq and is a predicted model, not a curated record. Lineage: Eukaryota; Metazoa; Chordata; Mammalia; Artiodactyla; Delphinidae. The transcript has 4 exons.